CCUACGGGAGGCAGCAGUGGGGAAUAUUGGACAAUGGGGGCAACCCUGAUCCAGCCAUGCCGCGUGUGUGAAGAAGGCCCUCGGGUUGUAAAGCACUUUCAGUGGGGAAGAACGCCUGGUGGUUAAUACCCAUCAGGAAAGACAUCACUCACAGAAGAAGCACCGGCUAACUCCGUGCCAGCAGCCGCGGUAAUACGGAGGGUGCGAGCGUUAAUCGGAAUUACUGGGCGUAAAGCGCGCGUAGGUGGCUUGAUAAGCCGGUUGUGAAAGCCCCGGGCUCAACCUGGGAACGGCAUCCGGAACUGUCAAGCUAGAGUGCAGGAGAGGAAGGUAGAAUUCCCGGUGUAGCGGUGAAAUGCGUAGAGAUCGGGAGGAAUACCAGUGGCGAAGGCGGCCUUCUGGACUGACACUGACACUGAGGUGCGAAAGCGUGGGUAGCAAACAGGAUUAGAUACCCCAGUAGUC
RNAcentral lists this ribosomal RNA (465 nucleotides) under Vreelandella stevensii. RNAcentral describes it as "partial 16S ribosomal RNA". It matches the Rfam family "Bacterial small subunit ribosomal RNA", at positions 338 to 795 of the family's 1533-position model. Lineage: Bacteria; Pseudomonadati; Pseudomonadota; Gammaproteobacteria; Oceanospirillales; Halomonadaceae. The record is from RNAcentral.